This 520-nucleotide ribosomal RNA is filed under the name uncultured bacterium. RNAcentral describes it as "bacterial SSU rRNA". It matches the Rfam family "Bacterial small subunit ribosomal RNA", at positions 772 to 1297 of the family's 1533-position model. The record is from RNAcentral.
ACUGAAUAGAUACCCCGGUAGUCCACGCUGUAAACGAUGAUUACUCGAUGUUGGCGAUACACAGUCAGCGUCUGAGCGAAAGCAAUAAGUAAUCCACCUGGGGAGUACGAUCGCAAGAUUGAAACUCAAAGGAAUUGACGGGGGCCCGCACAAGCGGAGGAGCAUGUGGUUUAAUUCGAUGAUACGCGAGGAACCUUACCUGGGCUCGAACGUAAGAUGACUGUAGGUGAAAGCUUACAUCUCUUCGGAGCAUUUUACGAGGUGCUGCAUGGUUGUCGUCAGCUCGUGCCGUGAGGUGUCGGGUUAAGUCCCAUAACGAGCGCAACCCCUACCUUUAGUUGCCAACAGGUCAUGCUGGGGACUCUAAAGGAACUGCCUACGCAAGUAGUGAGGAAGGCGGGGAUGACGUCAAAUCAGCACGGCCCUUACGUCCAGGGCUACACACGUGCUACAAUGGCCGAUACAGAGGGCAGCUACCUGGUGACAGGAUGCAAAUCUCCAAAGUCGGUCUCAGUUCGGA